UGGGGAAUCUUGCGCAAUGGGCGAAAGCCUGACGCAGCCAUGCCGCGUGAAUGAUGAAGGUCUUAGGAUUGUAAAAUUCUUUCACCGGGGACGAUAAUGACGGUACCCGGAGAAGAAGCCCCGGCUAACUUCGUGCCAGCAGCCGCGGUAAUACGAAGGGGGCUAGCGUUGCUCGGAAUUACUGGGCGUAAAGGGAGCGUAGGCGGACAUUUAAGUCAGGGGUGAAAUCCCGGGGCUCAACCUCGGAAUUGCCUUUGAUACUGGGUGCCUUGAGUGUGAGAGAGGUAUGUGGAACUCCGAGUGUAGAGGUGAAAUUCGUAGAUAUUCGGAAGAACACCAGUGGCGAAGGCGACAUACUGGCUCAUUACUGACGCUGAGGCUCGAAAGCGUGGGGAGCAAACAGGAUUAGAUACCCUGGUAGUCCACGCCGUAAACGAUGAUCGCUAGCUGUCGGGAUGCAUGCAUUUCGGUGACGCAGCUAACGCAUUAAGCAAUCCGCCUGGGGAGUACGGUCGCAAGAUUAAAACUCAAAGGAAUUGACGGGGUCAUAGCUGUUU
This 557-nucleotide ribosomal RNA is filed under the name uncultured bacterium. Its description in RNAcentral is "partial 16S ribosomal RNA". It matches the Rfam family "Bacterial small subunit ribosomal RNA", at positions 355 to 935 of the family's 1533-position model. The record is from RNAcentral.